This 249-nucleotide long non-coding RNA is filed under the name Citrus maxima (pomelo). RNAcentral's name for it is "long non-coding RNA (CMAX_LNC002304)". Lineage: Eukaryota; Viridiplantae; Streptophyta; Magnoliopsida; Sapindales; Rutaceae. The record is from RNAcentral.
AAAAAAAAACCCCACCACUCACUCACUUACCUCACACACGCCAAACGCCUCACCACUCCCUCACCACACGCCUCACCACGGCCAUCAACGGCGACGGCUGAAGGAGUUCCUAGGCAACGAUCAACGGCGGCACAAGGACGGGCUGAUCACCACCGUCGGCAACGAUCAACGAAGGCAGAAGGACGGGCUGAUCUUCUUCGUUGACAAUGAUCAACGGCGGCACAAGCACAGCGCCCUCAGCCCCUUCAG